GAAGUGGUGAGAUUUUGGGUAUUUCUGAAAGCUGAUUUGACUUGCUUCUGUAGCAGUCUCCUGAAACUGAUCAGGCAAGCUAUACACAUUUGCUAUUGAAAUUUACCACGUCAAUUCCUGCAGUAUUAGGAAACAUGGUGGGCCCUCAUGGGAUGGCGGAAAGUGCACUGGACUUGUAAUCAGAACAUCUGGCUUGGGCCCUGGCACUAUACCGCCUCUGUGUCUUAGUUCAUAUAAGGGCUGGGAGUGAGAAACAGCAACGCAGGGAGGAGGAGAGACCCGAAAGAAGAUAAAACUGCUAAGUAAGAGGAGAAUUCGUCUAUGACACCUACACUUUUAAGAUGCAUUCUUUGAUCACUUGUUUA
Molecule: long non-coding RNA, 365 nt
Organism: Mustela erminea (ermine)
Lineage: Eukaryota; Metazoa; Chordata; Mammalia; Carnivora; Mustelidae
Exons: 3
Source: RefSeq, a predicted model, not a curated record